UUAACUCAAAUUUUUAUGGAGUUUGAACGUUUGCCUACGUUUGCGUUAGGGACGGUGUUCCAACUGUAUACAAAUUUGAGUUA
RNAcentral lists this microRNA precursor (83 nucleotides) under Bombyx mori (domestic silkworm). RNAcentral describes it as "mir-2807 microRNA precursor family". It matches the Rfam family "mir-2807 microRNA precursor family". The record is from Rfam by way of RNAcentral. Lineage: Eukaryota; Metazoa; Arthropoda; Insecta; Lepidoptera; Bombycidae.